This 137-nucleotide non-coding RNA is filed under the name unclassified sequences. RNAcentral's name for it is "xerDC RNA". It matches the Rfam family "xerDC RNA". The record is from RNAcentral.
GAUCCGCAGCCGGACGGAUCACUUGACACAGGCAAACCGUGACGCUCUGUCACGGCUUGCAGCCGAGUUCAGCGGUUGUGUCAGCAGUCGCUCUUUGGAGCAGAGGACUUUACCUCCGUACUGCAUUCGUACUGACC